UCUCUUGUGGCCUAAUGGUUAAGGACUCAGCAUUAUUACUGCUAUGGCUCAGGUUCAAUCCCUGGCCUGGGAA
Molecule: transfer RNA, 73 nt
Filed under: Sus scrofa (pig)
Lineage: Eukaryota; Metazoa; Chordata; Mammalia; Artiodactyla; Suidae
Rfam family: tRNA
About the family: Transfer RNA (tRNA) molecules are approximately 80 nucleotides in length.
Source: Rfam by way of RNAcentral